RNAcentral lists this ribosomal RNA (162 nucleotides) under Diospyros chunii. Its description in RNAcentral is "5.8S ribosomal RNA". It matches the Rfam family "5.8S ribosomal RNA". Rfam says of the family: 5.8S ribosomal RNA (5.8S rRNA) is a component of the large subunit of the eukaryotic ribosome. Lineage: Eukaryota; Viridiplantae; Streptophyta; Magnoliopsida; Ericales; Ebenaceae. The record is from RNAcentral.
AACGACUCUCGGCAACGGAUAUCUCGGCUCUCGCAUCGAUGAAGAACGUAGCGAAAUGCGAUACUUGGUGUGAAUUGCAGAAUCCCGCGAACCAUCGAGUCUUUGAACGCAAGUUGCGCCCGAGGCCACCCGGCCGAGGGCACGUCUGCCUGGGCGUCACGC